RNAcentral lists this ribosomal RNA (253 nucleotides) under uncultured bacterium. RNAcentral's name for it is "partial 16S ribosomal RNA". It matches the Rfam family "Bacterial small subunit ribosomal RNA", at positions 524 to 776 of the family's 1533-position model. The record is from RNAcentral.
UACGGAGGGUGCAAGCGUUAAUCGGAAUUACUGGGCGUAAAGCGCACGCAGGCGGUUUGUUAAGUCAGAUGUGAAAUCCCCGGGCUCAACCUGGGAACUGCAUUCGAUACUGGCAAGCUUGAGUGUCGUAGAGGGGGGUAGAAUUCCAGGUGUAGCGGUGAAAUGCGUAGAGAUCGGGAGGAAUACCGGUGGCGAAGGCGGCCCCCUGGACCAAGACUGACGCUCAGGUGCGAAAGCGUGGGGAGCAAACAGG